AGUCUUAUAUUCAAUAAUGAUUUAAAAUUGCAAAUUUUAAGGAGUAAUAAAGAUAAUUACUAAGGCUU
RNAcentral lists this transfer RNA (68 nucleotides) under Troides aeacus. Its description in RNAcentral is "tRNA-Cys". The record is from RNAcentral. Lineage: Eukaryota; Metazoa; Arthropoda; Insecta; Lepidoptera; Papilionidae.